ACCGACCUACGGGAGGCAGCAGUAGGGAAUUUUCGUCAAUGGGCGCAAGCCUGAACGAGCGAUGCCGCGUGAGGGAAGAAGGCCUUCGGGUCGUAAAGCUCUGUUGCGGGGGAAAAAAGGCAGCAUCAGGAAAUGGGUGCUGACUGAUGGUGCCCCGCCAGAAAGUCACGGCUAACUACGUGCCAGCAGCCGCGGUAAUACGUAGGUGGCGAGCGUUAACCGGAAUGAUUGGGCGUAAAGGGUGCGCAGGCGGUUCUGCA
This 260-nucleotide ribosomal RNA is filed under the name uncultured bacterium. Its description in RNAcentral is "partial 16S ribosomal RNA". It matches the Rfam family "Bacterial small subunit ribosomal RNA", at positions 331 to 585 of the family's 1533-position model. The record is from RNAcentral.